GAACGGGUGAGUAACACGUGGGUAAUCUGCCCUGCACUCUGGGAUAAGCCUGGGAAACUGGGUCUAAUACUGGAUAUGACCUUUCUCCUUAUGGGGUUUGGUGGAAAGUUUUUCGGUGUAGGAUGAGCCCGNNNNCUAUCAGCUUGUUGGUGGGNNNNUGGCCUACCAAGGCGACGACGGGUAGCCGGCCUGAGAGGGUGAUCGGCCACAUUGGGACUGAGAUACGGCCCAGACUCCUACGGGAGGCAGCAGUGGGGAAUAUUGCACAAUGGGCGGAAGCCUGAUGCAGCGACGCCGCGUGAGGGAUGACGGCCUUCGGGUUGUAAACCUCUUUCAGCAGGGACGAAGCGUAAGNNACGGUACCUGCAGAAGAAGCACCGGCUAACUACGUGCCAGCAGCCGCGGUAAUACGUAGGGUGCGAGCGUUGUCCGGAAUUACUGGGCGUAAAGAGCUCGUAGGCGGUUUGUCACGUCGUCUGUGAAAUCCUAGGGCUUAACCCUGGACGUGCAGGCGAUACGGGCUGACUUGAGUACUACAGGGGAGACUGGAAUUUCUGGUGUAGCGGUGGAAUGCGCAGAUAUCAGGAAGAACACCGAUGGCGAAGGCAGGCCUCUGGGUAGUAAUUGACGCUGAGGAGCGAAAGCAUGGGUAGCGAACAGGAUUAGAUACCCUGGUAGUCCAUGCCGUANACGGUGGGCGCUAGGUGUGGGGUUCCUCCCACGGGCUCCGCGCCAUAGCUAACGCAUUAAGCGCCC
RNAcentral lists this ribosomal RNA (756 nucleotides) under uncultured bacterium. Its description in RNAcentral is "bacterial SSU rRNA". It matches the Rfam family "Bacterial small subunit ribosomal RNA", at positions 100 to 869 of the family's 1533-position model. The record is from RNAcentral.